RNAcentral lists this ribosomal RNA (253 nucleotides) under uncultured Intrasporangiaceae bacterium. Its description in RNAcentral is "partial 16S ribosomal RNA". It matches the Rfam family "Bacterial small subunit ribosomal RNA", at positions 524 to 776 of the family's 1533-position model. The record is from RNAcentral. Lineage: Bacteria; Bacillati; Actinomycetota; Actinomycetes; Micrococcales; Intrasporangiaceae.
UACGUAGGGUGCGAGCGUUAAUCGGAAUUAUUGGGCGUAAAGAGCUUGUAGGCGGUUUGUCGCGUCUGCUGUGAAAAUCCGGGGCUCAACCCCGGACUUGCAGUGGGUACGGGCAGACUAGAGUGUGGUAGGGGAGACUGGAAUUCCUGGUGUAGCGGUGGAAUGCGCAGAUAUCAGGAGGAACACCGAUGGCGAAGGCAGGUCUCUGGGCCACUACUGACGCUGAGAAGCGAAAGCAUGGGGAGCGAACAGG